AAACUUAAAUGAAUUGACGGGACCCGCACAAGCAGCGGAGCGUGUGGUUUAAUUCGUUGCUACACGAAGAACUUACCUGGGUUUGACAUAUAGGUUGUAGGGAACUGAAAAGGGACCGACCCUUCGGGGAGCCUAUACAGGUGUUGCAUGGCUGUCGUCAGCUCGUGUCGUGAGAUGUUCGGUUAAGUCCGCUAACGAGCGCAACCCUCGUCGUAUGUUAUAUGUGUCAUACGAGACUGCCGGUAAAAAGCCGGAGGAAGGUGAGGAUGAUGUCAAGUCAGCAUGACCUUUAUAUCCAGGGCUACACACACGCUACAAUGGUCUGUACAAUGGGUAGCCAAGCCGCGAGGCGGAGCCAAUCCUGAAAGCAGGCCUCAGUUCAGAUUGCAGUCUGCAACUCGACUGCAUGAAGCCGGAGUUGCUAGUAACCGCAGGUCAGCAAUACUGCGGUGAAUACGUUCCCGGGUCUU
Molecule: ribosomal RNA, 470 nt
Filed under: uncultured Anaerolineaceae bacterium
Lineage: Bacteria; Bacillati; Chloroflexota; Anaerolineae; Anaerolineales; Anaerolineaceae
Description: bacterial SSU rRNA
Rfam family: Bacterial small subunit ribosomal RNA
Source: RNAcentral